RNAcentral lists this long non-coding RNA (843 nucleotides) under Bos taurus (domestic cattle). RNAcentral describes it as "long non-coding RNA NONBTAT022104". Lineage: Eukaryota; Metazoa; Chordata; Mammalia; Artiodactyla; Bovidae. The record is from RNAcentral.
UUUUUGCCUUUUGUUUCAAAGUUAAAGAACUUACUAAAGAAAUAAAUGCAUAAAGGAAUUAAGACCAUUUAAAAGAUACUGUUACUAUCUUCUAGCCACAUCCUAGUCAGACCAUAUUGGAAAUCUCAAAAACUAUUUCAUUCAUAGAAAUUAAAAACAAACAACAGAAACAAUGCCAAGUAAACAAGUAGAAAAGUCCUUAUGUUCAAUUAAGGUGAUGAUGGACCACAAAUAAAGAAAUUAACAAAGACAAAAAUACUAAAGACCUAAAGUAAGGCAAAAAUACUACUAAUAAGAACCUUUUAUUUAAAAACUCUGUGAUCCUUCAAAGAUCUCGAAGAAAAACAAAAAAUCCCCAAAUGGAGAGGUCACUAAAUAUCCAUGAACACUCACCCAACCACUGGUAGGAGACCUCUUGAAGACCCAGAUGCUUGAAUCAGCUGAAAUAGUACCAAUUUUUUACUGAUUACUCUUAAUAGGGCAAUGGAGCACAGGUUAACUCCAUACUAUCAAAUAUUAAAAGUUACUAUUAUUAAUUUCUACCUACUACCAUUACAAAUUACUCAAAGGAGAAGGAGACUGAGUAAUGAGUUCUAAGAUGAGUGAAACUUACUGCAUGCAUGUGUGUAAAUGCAUACAUUUCCUCCAGCUCUCUUUGUGAUGUAAACCUGAGAAUGUAAUUCUUCUCGUUAAGUGUAAAUAUACAGGCAGAAUAAAAUUUUCUAAAUUAAUACAAAAUCCUUAAAGCAUGUAAAAUAUUUUUAUAUUGGUUUAUGUAGAAAAAUUUUUUUAAUUUGUUUUUUAAAGACAAUGACAAUUUCUCAAUAUGAGUUACUUUAAUUA